GACGCAGUAGGAUAGGCGAAGCGUGCUGUUGGAGUGCACGUCCAAGCAGUGAGAUUGAGUGUUAGGCAAAUCCGGCACUCUUAAGAUUGAGCUGUGAUGGGGAGAGGAACUUGUUCCUCGAGUCGUUGAUUUCACACUGCCGAGAAAAGCCUCUAGCUAGAAUAACGGUGCCCGUACCGCAAACCGACACAGGUAGUCAAGAUGAGAAUUCUAAGGUGAGCGAGCGAACUCUCGUUAAGGAACUCGGCAAAAUGACCCCGUAACUUCGGGAGAAGGGGUGCUCUUUGAGGUUCACGCUUCGAAGAGCCGCAGUGAAUAGGCCCAAGCGACUGUUUAUCAAAAACACAGGUCUCUGCUAAACCGUAAGGUGACGUAUAGGGGCUGACGCCUGCCCGGUGCUGGAAGGUUAAGAGGAGUGGUUAGCGCAAGCGAAGCUACGAAUCGAAGCCCCAGUAAACGGCGGCCGUAACUAUAACGGUCCUAAGGUAGCGAAAUUCCUUGUCGGGUAAGUUCCGACCCGCACGAAAGGCGUAACGAUUUGGGCACUGUCUCAACGAGAGACUCGGUGAAAUCAUAGUACCGGUGAAGAUGCCGGUUACCCGCGACAGGACGGAAAGACCCCGUGGAGCUUUACUGUAGCCUGAUAUUGAAAUUCGGUACAGUUUGUACAGGAUAGGUAGGAGCCUUAGAAGCGUGAGCGCUAGCUUACGUGGAGGCAUUGGUGGGAUACUACCCUAAUUGUAUUGGAUUUCUAACCCGCAGCACUUAUCGUGCUGGGAGACAGUGUCAGGCGGGCAGUUUGACUGGGGCGGUCGCCUCCUAAAGAGUAACGGAGGCGCUCAAAGGUUCCCUCAGAAUGGUUGGAAAUCAUUCAUAGAGUGUAAAGGCAUAAGGGAGCUUGACUGCGAGACCUACAAGUCGAGCAGGGUCGAAAGACGGACUUAGUGAUCCGGUGGUUCCGCAUGGAAGGGCCAUCGCUCAACGGAUAAAAGCUACCCCGGGGAUAACAGGCUUAUCUCCCCCAAGAGUUCACAUCGACGGGGAGGUUUGGCACCUCGAUGUCGGCUCAUCGCAUCCUGGGGCUGUAGUCGGUCCCAAGGGUUGGGCUGUUCGCCCAUUAAAGCGGUACGCGAGCUGGGUUCAGAACGUCGUGAGACAGUUCGGUCCCUAUCCGUCGUGGGCGUAGGAAAUUUGAGAGGAGCUGUCCUUAGUACGAGAGGACCGGGAUGGACAUACCUCUGGUGUACCAGUUGUCGUGCCAACGGCAUAGCUGGGUAGCUAUGUAUGGACGGGAUAAGUGCUGAAAGCAUCUAAGCAUGAAGCCCCCCUCGAGAUGAGAUU
RNAcentral lists this ribosomal RNA (1341 nucleotides) under Staphylococcus pseudintermedius. RNAcentral describes it as "partial 23S ribosomal RNA". It matches the Rfam family "Bacterial large subunit ribosomal RNA", at positions 1471 to 2811 of the family's 2925-position model. The record is from RNAcentral. Lineage: Bacteria; Bacillati; Bacillota; Bacilli; Caryophanales; Staphylococcaceae.